AUGGCUUUUUGGAAUUUAUGUAAAAGUCGGGGCCUGCCCACUGAGGUAAUCUUAAAGGGCCGCAGUAUAUUGACUGUGCAAAGGUAGCAUAAUCAUUAGUUUUUUAAUUGAGAACUGGAAUGAAUGGUUUGAUGAAAUAAUAACUGUCUACAAAUUAAUAUAUUGAAUUUUAUUUUUAAGUUAAAAAGCUUAAAUAUUAUUUGGGGACGAGAAGACCCUAUAGAUCUUAAUAAAAAUUAAUUUAAUUUAUUUUUAGUGGAUAAUUAAUAAUUAAAUUAAUUUUUAUUGUGUUGGGGUGACAUGGGAAAAUAAGAAACUUCUCAUAAUUUAAACUUAAAUGAAAGAUUAAAGGAUCCUUUAUUAAGGAAAUAAGAUUAAGAUACCUUAGGGAUAACAGCGUAAUUUUAUUGGAAAGUUCAUAUUAAUAAUAAAGUUUGCGACCUCGAUGUUGGAUUAAGAUUAUAAAUUGGUGUAGAAGUUAAUUGUAUAAGUCUGUUCGACUUUUGAAUUCCUUACNUUGAANCUUAA
RNAcentral lists this ribosomal RNA (528 nucleotides) under Allonemobius socius. RNAcentral describes it as "partial 16S ribosomal RNA". It matches the Rfam family "Bacterial large subunit ribosomal RNA", at positions 1815 to 2609 of the family's 2925-position model. Lineage: Eukaryota; Metazoa; Arthropoda; Insecta; Orthoptera; Trigonidiidae. The record is from RNAcentral.